AAAAAGCUCGUAGUUGGAUUUUUAAGGGUGUCUGCUUCUAGUGUCCUUUCGUGACUCUAAAGUUGCAGACUCCCCUUAUUUUGCCUCAGUGCUCGGUUGGGAUUCAUUUCUCGAUCGGGCUUCCGGGGCGUGUUUACUUUGAGAAAAUUAGAGUGUUCAAAACAGUCUUGUGAUUGUAUAUCAUAGCAUGGAAUAAUAACUGAUGACGUCGGUCAUUUUUUGUUGGUUCGGAUGGCUGAAGUAAUGAUUGAUAGAGUUAGUCGGAGGUAUUAGUAUUUUAUCGUUAGAGGUGAAAUUCAUGGAUCGGUAAAAGACUAACAACUGCGAAAGCAUUUAUCUAGGAUUUGCUCUUUGAUCAAGAACGAAAGUUGGGGGAUCGAAGACGAUCAGAUACCGUCGUAGUCUCAACUAUAAACUAUACCAGCUAGGGAUUGGUGGGCGUUGCUUGACCUCAUCAGAACCUUAUGAGAAAUCAAAGCAUUUGGGUUCCGGGGGGAGUAUGGUCGCAAGGCUGAAACUUAAAGGAAUUGACGGAAGGGCACCACAAGUUGUGGAUCCUGUGGCUUAAUUUGACUCAACGCGGGAAAACUUACCAGGUCCAGACAUAGCAAGGGAUUGACAGAUUGAUAGCUCUUUCUUGAU
RNAcentral lists this ribosomal RNA (642 nucleotides) under uncultured marine eukaryote. Its description in RNAcentral is "bacterial SSU rRNA". It matches the Rfam family "Eukaryotic small subunit ribosomal RNA", at positions 621 to 1266 of the family's 1831-position model. The record is from RNAcentral.